Diabrotica virgifera virgifera (western corn rootworm) is the source of this 665-nucleotide long non-coding RNA. RefSeq lists it as uncharacterized. The record is from RefSeq and is a predicted model, not a curated record. NCBI's taxonomy places the organism in Eukaryota, Metazoa, Arthropoda, Insecta, Coleoptera, Chrysomelidae. The transcript is spliced from 2 exons.
CGAUUGUACAUUGGCGGCUUAAGCUAUGGCUUAGUUGAACCGGGUUCAAUUUUGAGCGUCGGUUUAACUUCAUUCGGGUUGUUCAAUGCCGAGUUCAGUUAAGCCGAGGUUCAUACAAAUUUUGGUAAGGUUGGCAACGUAAGGCAUGCGUAUUCAAAGCAAUUCCCGUCAAUUCUCGACAUAAAUUUUCCCGCCAUUUAUGUAUUAUUAUUUGGUUUUUGUCAAUAUAAUUCUUUUAUUACUGUUAUUAGUUUAAUCGGUAUUUUCUAUCGUUUAGUUUAUCAGUUUAAUCAAUUUCCUACGUUAAAUUUGUGAACAGACCAUUUGAAUAGCUUGUGAUGAAGGAUUGCGUAAGGGUGUUAUCAGGUUUUCUUGACUCCGUAACCACUAUCACCAAAGAAGAUACUAAUUCAAUCUUCACAUUCUCUUCUCAUAAAUAUUUAACUGUUUACAGCUAUGAUUUCAAAUUCACUCAAAAAUGUUAAUAUUUGCCUUAUUCUAGGGAAGUAGGUAGGUAAUUUAAAUAAUUUUAGAAGGUAAAUUAGUUUGUAAUUAUUAUUAAAUAAAGUGAUAAUAUGUACCUACAUAAGCAUGGUACAAAUAUAAUUAAUUUAAGAUUUAUUAAUAAAUUAUGUACAUCUAAUUUAAUAAAUUAACAAAAUCGU